RNAcentral lists this ribosomal RNA (497 nucleotides) under uncultured bacterium. Its description in RNAcentral is "partial 16S ribosomal RNA". It matches the Rfam family "Bacterial small subunit ribosomal RNA", at positions 28 to 507 of the family's 1533-position model. The record is from RNAcentral.
GAUGAACGCUGGCGGCGUGCCUAAUACAUGCAAGUCGAGCGAACACACGAGGAGAUUGCUCCUCUGAAGUUAGCGGCGGACGGGUGAGUAGCACGUGGAUAACCUACCUAUAAGACUGGGAUAACUUCGGGAAACCGGAGCCCAUACCGGAUAAUAUAUUGAACCGCAUGGUUCAAUAGUGAAAGACGGGUUUGCUGUCACUUAUAGAUGGAUCCGCGCCGCAUUAGCUAGUUGGUAAGGUAACGGCUUACUAAGGCAACGAUGCGUAGCCGACCUGAGAGGAUGUUCGGCCACACUGGGACUGAGAAACGGCCCAGACACCUGCGGUAGGCAGCAGUAGGGAAGUGUUCACAAUGUGCGAAAGCCUGACCUAGCAACGCCGCGUGAGUGAUGAAGGUCUUCUGAUCGUAAAACUCUUUUCUUGGGGAAGAACAAAGGUGUAAGUAACCAUGCACGUCUUGACGGUACCUUAGCAGAAAGCAACGGCUAACUACGUG